Molecule: long non-coding RNA, 801 nt
Organism: Gasterosteus aculeatus aculeatus (three-spined stickleback)
Lineage: Eukaryota; Metazoa; Chordata; Actinopteri; Perciformes; Gasterosteidae
Source: Ensembl
AUCUCCCCCCAAACAACAACCCCCCGCUCUUCUUCUCCCCGUUGUCCUCCUCUACCCCUCCGCCGGCGCCAAGCAACGCCUCGGCCCUCCUCUCUUCUUCUUCUUCUUCUUCUUCUUCUCCUGCGACGCACAGCAGCAGCACCGCCGUGUCAUCCAAGACCUCCACUGGGCUGACCAACGUGAACACGAGGCCCGUAUCCACGACGACCGCCACGCCCAUCACGCCCUUCCACACGCCGGCCAGCCCACCCGGCCGACAGGUAUCACAGCCCGCGGGCACACCUGGUCCUGUGCGAGCCAACCAGAGCCCCUCCCCCGUGAGGCAGCGGGUCUCCCAGCAGACCCUGCUCCUGGGGAAAGGUCUCAAAGGGUCUGGGCCAGACCAGGUGCUGCUCAGAGCUCAGAUGCUCCAGAGCCUCACCCUGAGGCCCCCCCCCCACGGGGCCCUCACCAUCCCUCCCUCCCUUCGCCUCAAGCCGCCGUGCUCGGCUCAGCAUCGACUCUCUCGCCCUCAUGCCCCCCUCUUCCCCCCCCUGAGGCCGCGCCCGCAGUCCUGCCACACGGCGACGGAGAGACCAAACGCGCCCGGGCGCCACCUCUCCGUCCCGCCUCCGAGUAGGUCUCACUUACCUGUUUCACUUUCGGGAUUGUCGCUCAGCUGCCCGGUCGGUUGAAGCGGAGGAGGAAAGGGUGUUAGUGCGUCCACUCACUGGUCACAUGGUCUCACAGGGAGACGAAGAAGGACCGCGGCGCCUUUCCCGCGCACUUACUUCAUAAAAUGAAUUUUGGUCGGUUGCUCUU